AUACAGCUGACCAGUGCCAAAUAGGACGAAACGCGCAUCCUGGAU
Molecule: non-coding RNA, 45 nt
Organism: Schistosoma curassoni
Lineage: Eukaryota; Metazoa; Platyhelminthes; Trematoda; Strigeidida; Schistosomatidae
Source: Rfam